CGGGAUGUAGCGCAGUUUGGUAGCGCAUCAGUUUUGGGAACUGGGUGUCGCAGGUUCGAAUCCUGUCAUCCCGA
RNAcentral lists this transfer RNA (74 nucleotides) under Ignatius tetrasporus. RNAcentral's name for it is "tRNA-Pro". It matches the Rfam family "tRNA". From Rfam's summary of the family: Transfer RNA (tRNA) molecules are approximately 80 nucleotides in length. Their secondary structure includes four short double-helical elements and three loops (D, anti-codon, and T loops). Further hydrogen bonds mediate the characteristic L-shaped molecular structure. tRNAs have two regions of fundamental functional importance: the anti-codon, which is responsible for specific mRNA codon recognition, and the 3' end, to which the tRNAs corresponding amino acid is attached (by aminoacyl-tRNA synthetases). tRNAs cope with the degeneracy of the genetic code in two manners: having more than one tRNA (with a specific anti-codon) for a particular amino acid; and 'wobble' base-pairing, i.e. permitting non-standard base-pairing at the 3rd anti-codon position. RNAcentral also lists the same sequence under 3 other names. The record is from RNAcentral. Lineage: Eukaryota; Viridiplantae; Chlorophyta; Ulvophyceae; Ignatiales; Ignatiaceae.